CAGGAAGGCUGAUGAAAUAUCUCCAGCGGUAACUGGAAUGUAUUCUCUUUAUGACUUAAAGUGAGAUUCACUAACAUCAGAAUUAGAUAUGAUCACAACUGAAUAGCAGCAGAAAAGUGAAGCAUGUUUGUGGUAAAAUAAUAUUUUACCCUUUUGAGCCCUGACCCAUCUCAAGUCAGAGAAUAAUUGGACAUGCAGCACCAGUGCAGAUGGCUGGCCCUCUGAAAGGGGCCUGACUUGCUUUGAAGACAUGUUCCAGUGAGUUACAAUGCCUUAUCACUAGGAGGGGGCAUCCAGGCAUUUCUGUUUCUGUGUUUUAUGGAACAGAUAGAAGAUAUCUGGAAAUUUGGAUAAUUAGAUGCGUAACUGAGCCUGUGCCAGAUCAGAUAUUUACUCAGAGAUGUUCUGUAAAUUUCCUGGGAAGGUUUACUCAUCGACUUCAAAGACUCCAGUAAUCUGAAUCUCCUACCAAAGAAGGGACCAUUUGCAGUGGUGAGUGGACAUGCGUCCCUGUUCGAAAGGUGGUCAUGUGCCCACACAGAGCCAAAAAGAGGACAGAUAUCUAUCCUCGUGCACUUUGAGCUUACACUUGGUGUUCAUGUCCCGG
RNAcentral lists this long non-coding RNA (607 nucleotides) under Cricetulus griseus (Chinese hamster). Its description in RNAcentral is "lncRNA (ENSCGRG00015034332.1)". The record is from RNAcentral. Lineage: Eukaryota; Metazoa; Chordata; Mammalia; Rodentia; Cricetidae.